This 270-nucleotide unclassified non-coding RNA is filed under the name Hevea brasiliensis (rubber tree). The record is from RNAcentral. Lineage: Eukaryota; Viridiplantae; Streptophyta; Magnoliopsida; Malpighiales; Euphorbiaceae.
GUAAAGAUGAGAUAGUAGCACAUCUCCACAGGAGAGCAUAGAGGUUUGUUACUUUUACUCUCUCUACCAAAACAGGUUCAGACCUCCAAUUUUCAACUAAUCAAGUACUGACCCGUCCACUGUCAGCAAUAAAGGAAGAGAUUUAUGGGUCCAAUACUUCAGGGUUUGCUGUUCAUGGUUUGAGAUGAGAUUGCAGGCCCCCAUCUAAAUCCUUCAAUUGGUUGAACAUUUCUACUUGUUUGUUGAUCUCCAUGGAGAACAACAUUGUUA